UACGGAGGGUGCAAGCGUUAUCCGGAUUCACUGGGUUUAAAGGGUGCGUAGGCGGGUUGGUAAGUCCGUGGUGAAAUCCCCAAGCUUAACUUGGGAACUGCCGUGGAUACUAUCAAUCUUGAAUAUCGUGGAGGUAAGCGGAAUAUGUCAUGUAGCGGUGAAAUGCUUAGAUAUGACAUAGAACACCAAUUGCGUAGGCAGCUUACUACACGAUCAUUGACGCUGAGGCACGGAAGCGUGGGGAGCAAACAGG
Molecule: ribosomal RNA, 253 nt
Filed under: uncultured bacterium
Lineage: Bacteria
Description: partial 16S ribosomal RNA
Rfam family: Bacterial small subunit ribosomal RNA
Source: RNAcentral